GGGGGGGGAGCAAGGACGCAGACCAUCCUACCCUAAACUCAAAGGAGUGGGCCUUGCUGCGGGUCACUCUCUCCCUCUGUUUUGCAGCAAGGCCGUCGACAUAGCCGUCGUGACCACGUAUUUCAAGCCCCGUGUCUCGCGAAGCCGGCAGCCAUGGUAUUCCGCAGAUUUGUGGAGAUCGGGCGCGUCGCCCUCAUUAACUAUGGCCCCCAUUAUGGUAAGCUCGUCGUGAUCGUUGACGUGAUCGACCAGAACCGGGCGCUUGUCGACGCUCCCGACAUGGUCCGGACCCAGAUUAACUUCAAGCGUCUCUCGCUUACGGACAUUACCAUCCCCGAGCUACCGAGGACUCCCCCGAAGAAGGUGCUCAAGAAGGCGUAUGAUGAUGCCGAGGUGGAGCAGAGGUGGGCCAACUGCGCCUGGGGCAAGAAGCUCGCUGUGCGCACUAAUAGAGCAAGUUUGAACGAUUUCGACCGUUUUGUAGUUAUGGUGGCGCGAGUCAAGAGGAGCUGCAUUGUGCGUCGGGAGCUCGGAAAGCUUAGGAGGGAAAAAGCUUAGGUCAACUGAAAACCUGGACGCUCAUGUCGAUGGACACAUUUCGAGUUUGUAGUCGCUAGCAAUCGUGCUAUUUGGGCCCUGCUGCAAUUAAUACGUGUGGGAUGAGAAGCAGAAGAGACUUGUGACAAUUUUCCUACUUAUGAAAUUUUGUUCAUCAAUGGAUUGCGGUACCAUUUUUCAAUGGGGACUAUUCUUCAUCUCACCACCUUUGGCGAACAGCAUAACUUGCAUGUUUGUUUACAUCAAGCCCCAGACAGUUACUUCGUACCCUCAGGUUUUCUGUAGCAAUUAUCUUUCUUCGCUCAAAGACAGGUUUUCUGGAGUCUCCAGUGUAUUGCAAAACGGAGCUGCACUGAGAAAUGAUUGUCUGUAGGCAACAGGUGGCUAGCUUAGUCCAUGUUGAUAUCUUCCUCGGAAACUGAUGUGAAAAUGUUUACGGCUCGCAGUGAGAUAAGCUGCUUUUGAAUAUAGUUGGUGCAAGUGCCCUUUUGACACCUUGAACACCUUUUGACCUUCUCUGAUA
Non-coding RNA from Physcomitrium patens, 1081 nucleotides. NCBI's taxonomy places the organism in Eukaryota, Viridiplantae, Streptophyta, Bryopsida, Funariales, Funariaceae. The record is from RefSeq and is a predicted model, not a curated record.